UACGUAGGGGGCGAGCGUUGUCCGGAAUCAUUGGGCGUAAAGCGCGUGUAGGCGGCCCGGUAAGUCCGCUGUGAAAGUCCAGGGCUCAACCCUGGGAUGCCGGUGGAUACUGUCGGGCUCGAGUCCGGAAGAGGCGAGUGGAAUUCCUGGUGUAGCGGUGAAAUGCGCAGAUAUCAGGAGGAACACCGGUGGCGAAGGCGCCACUCUGGGCCGGUACCUGACGCUGAGGAGCGAAAGCGUGGGUAGCAACAGG
RNAcentral lists this ribosomal RNA (253 nucleotides) under uncultured bacterium. RNAcentral's name for it is "partial 16S ribosomal RNA". It matches the Rfam family "Bacterial small subunit ribosomal RNA", at positions 524 to 775 of the family's 1533-position model. The record is from RNAcentral.